AGUAUCUGUGGAUUAAAGGUGGCUUUUGGGCUGUCGCAGAUGGAUGAGCCUGCGUUGGAUUAGCUAGUUGGUGGGGUAAGGGCCUACCAAGGCUACGAUCCAUAGCUGAUUUGAGAGGAUGAUCAGCCACAUUGGGACUGAGACACGGCCCAAACUCCUACGGGAGGCAGCAGUGAGGAAUAUUGGACAAUGGGGGCAACCCUGAUCCAGCAAUGCCAUGUGUGUGAAGAAGGCCUUAGGGUUGUAAAGCACUUUAGUUGGGGAAGAAAGCUUUGAGGUUAAUAGCCUUGAGGAAAAGGACGUUACCCAAAGAAUAAGCACCGGCUAACUCCGUGCCAGCAGCCGCGGUAAUACGGGGGGUGCAAGCGUUAAUCGGAAUUACUGGGCGUAAAGGGUCUGUAGGUGGUUUGUUAAGUCAGAUGUGAAAGCCUAGGGCUCAACCUUGGAACUGCAUUUGAUACUGGUAAACUAGAGUACGGUAGAGGAAUGGGGAAUUUCUGGUGUAGCGGUGAAAUGCGUAGAGAUCAGAAGGAACACCAAUGGCGAAGGCAACAUUCUGGACCGAUACUGACACUGAGGGACGAAAGCGUGGGGAUCAAACAGGAUUAGAUACCCUGGUAGUCCACGCUGUAAACGAUGAGUACUAGCUGUUGGAGUCGGUGUAAAGGCUCUAGUGGCGCAGCUAACGCGAUAAGUACUCCGCCUGGGGACUACGGCCGCAAGGCUAAAACUCAAAGGAAUUGACGGGGACCCGCACAAGCGGUGGAGCAUGUAGUUUAAUUCGAUGCAACGCGAAGAACCUUACCUGGUCUUGACAUCCUGCGAUCUUUCUAGAGAUAGAUUGGUGCCUUCGGGAACGCAGUGACAGGUGCUGCACGGCUGUCGUCAGCUCGUGUUGUGAAAUGUUGGGUUAAGUCCCGCAACGAGCGCAACCCCUAUUGAUAGUUACCAUCAUUAAGUUGGGUACUCUAUUAAGACUGCCGCUGACAAGGCGGAGGAAGGUGGGGACGACGUCAAGUCAUCAUGGCCCUUACGACAGGG
Molecule: ribosomal RNA, 1041 nt
Filed under: Francisella endosymbiont of Dermacentor andersoni
Lineage: Bacteria; Pseudomonadati; Pseudomonadota; Gammaproteobacteria; Thiotrichales; Francisellaceae
Description: bacterial SSU rRNA
Rfam family: Bacterial small subunit ribosomal RNA
Source: RNAcentral